RNAcentral lists this ribosomal RNA (497 nucleotides) under uncultured bacterium. RNAcentral describes it as "partial 16S ribosomal RNA". It matches the Rfam family "Bacterial small subunit ribosomal RNA", at positions 28 to 507 of the family's 1533-position model. The record is from RNAcentral.
GAUGAACGCUGGCGGCGUGCCUAAUACAUGCGAGUCGAGCGAACGGACGAGAAGCUUGCUUUUCUGAUGUUAGCGGCGGACGGGUGAGUAACACGUGGAUAACCUACCUAUAAGACUGGGAUAACUUCGGGAAACCGGAGCUAAUACCGGAUAAUAUUUUGAACCGCAUGGUUCAAAAGUGAAAGACGGUCUUGCUGUCACUUAUAGAUGGAUCCGCGCUGCAUUAGCUAGUUGGUAAGGUAACGGCUUACCAAGGCAACGAUGCAUAGCCGACCUGAGAGGGUGAUCGGCCACACUGGAACUGAGACACGGUCCAGACUCCUACGGGAGGCAGUAGUAGGGAAUCUUCCGCAAUGGGCGAAAGCCUGACGGAGCAACGCCGCGUGAGUGAUGAAGGUCUUCGGAUCGUAAUACUCUGUUAUUAGGGAAGAACAUAUGUGUAAGUAACUGUGCACAUCUUGACGGUACCUAAUCAGAAAGCCACGGCUAACUACGUG